UUGAACGCUGGCGGCAUGCCUUACACAUGCAAGUCGAACGGCAGCGCGGGAGCAAUCCUGGCGGCGAGUGGCGAACGGGUGAGUAAUACAUCGGAACGUGCCCAAUCGUGGGGGAUAACGCAGCGAAAGCUGUGCUAAUACCGCAUACGAUCUACGGAUGAAAGCAGGGGACUCGCAAGAGCCUUGCGCGAAUGGAGCGGCCGAUGGCAGAUUAGGUAGUUGGUGGGGUAAAGGCUCACCAAGCCGACGAUCUGUAGCUG
RNAcentral lists this ribosomal RNA (260 nucleotides) under Variovorax sp. ISO782_OTU223. Its description in RNAcentral is "partial 16S ribosomal RNA". It matches the Rfam family "Bacterial small subunit ribosomal RNA", at positions 30 to 289 of the family's 1533-position model. The record is from RNAcentral. Lineage: Bacteria; Pseudomonadati; Pseudomonadota; Betaproteobacteria; Burkholderiales; Comamonadaceae.